RNAcentral lists this ribosomal RNA (233 nucleotides) under uncultured bacterium. RNAcentral's name for it is "partial 16S ribosomal RNA". It matches the Rfam family "Bacterial small subunit ribosomal RNA", at positions 118 to 351 of the family's 1533-position model. The record is from RNAcentral.
UGAGUAACCUGCCCUUAACUCUGGGAUAAGCCUGGGAAACUGGGUCUAAUACCGGAUAUGACUCCUCAUCGCAUGGUGGGGGGUGGAAAGCUUUUUGUGGUUUUGGAUGGACUCGCGGCCUAUCAGCUUGUUGGUGAGGUAAUGGCUUACCAAGGCGACGACGGGUAGCCGGCCUGAGAGGGUGACCGGCCACACUGGGACUGAGACACGGCCCAGACUCUUACGGGAGGCAG